CUUGUCUCGCAGAUUAAGCCAUGCAUGUCUAAGUGUAAAUAUUUUACAGUGAAACUGCGAAUGGCUCAUUAAAACAGUUAUUGUUUGCUUGGAGUAUUUCCCUACGGAUAUCCGUGGAAAUCCUACAGUUAAUACGUAACAGCUUCUUCGGAAGUGUUGCAUAUUACUGUGAACAUUCGGCGUGGGUAACACCCUCGUCUACUAUGAACACUUGUAUGCACGAAUCGCAUAUCUAUGCGAGAGUCCAUCAAAGUUUCUGACCCAUCAGGUUCCGACGGUAAGGUAUUGGCUUACCGUGCCGAUUACGGGUAACGGGGGAUUAGGGUUUGAUUCCGGAGAGUCCGCUUGAGAAACAGCGAACACAUCCAAGGAAGGCAGCAGGCGCGUAAAUUACCUAUCCCUGACACAGGGAGGUAGUAAACAGAAAUAAUGACGCAUGAUUCUAAUCGUGCGAUCGGAAUGAACGGUGAUUAAACCUCACCGUGAAGACAAUCAGAGGAUUAGUCUGGUGCCAGCACCCGCGGCAAUACCAGCUCUGAUAGCGUAUAUUAUUGAUGUUGCAGUUAAAACGUUCGUAGUCGAACUUUAUCUGCUCAGGUAUUGUGGUAUCGAUGAUAUCGCAGUACUUUUAGCAGAGAUUGUGCAAGGAACAUCUCACGAGUUUCUCGUGUUGGUGGCCUUGCAUCUUACUUUGAGUGAAUCGGCGUGUUCCACGCAGGCAUGUGCCUUGAACGAUUUACCAUAGUAUAAUUAGAGUAUGAAGGUAUCUCCUUGUUUGUUCGGAGCUAUUUUCUAUACUGAUAAGAACGGUUGAGGGCAUUCGUAUUCAACUGCCAGAGGUGAAAUUCUUUGAUUAGUUGAGGACGAACUAUUGCGAAAGCAUCUGCCAAGGACGUUUCUUUUGAUCAAGAACGAAAGUUAGGUGAUCGAAGAUGAUUAGAUACCGUUGUAGUCCUAACCAUAAACUUUACUAUCCAAGAGUUGGAUCGGUGACUUUACGCCCUUCCAGUACUUUCUGAGAAAUCAUAAGUCUUUGAGUUCUGGGGGGAGUAUAGUCGCAAGGCCGAAACUUAAAGGAAUGACGGAAGAAUCGUCGACUGC
This 1101-nucleotide ribosomal RNA is filed under the name uncultured apicomplexan. RNAcentral describes it as "bacterial SSU rRNA". It matches the Rfam family "Eukaryotic small subunit ribosomal RNA", at positions 31 to 1642 of the family's 1831-position model. The record is from RNAcentral. Lineage: Eukaryota; Apicomplexa.